Molecule: ribosomal RNA, 673 nt
Filed under: uncultured Lachnospiraceae bacterium
Lineage: Bacteria; Bacillati; Bacillota; Clostridia; Lachnospirales; Lachnospiraceae
Description: bacterial SSU rRNA
Rfam family: Bacterial small subunit ribosomal RNA
Source: RNAcentral
ACAUGCAAGUCGAGCGAAGCACUUUUGCGGAUUUCUUCGGAUUGAAGCAAUUGUGACUGAGCGGCGGACGGGUGAGUAACGCGUGGGUAACCUGCCUCAUACAGGGGGAUAACAGUUGGAAACGGCUGCUAAUACCGCAUAAGCGCACAGUACCGCAUGGUACCGUGUGAAAAACUCCGGUGGUAUGAGAUGGACCCGCGUCUGAUUAGCUAGUUGGUGGGGUAACGGCCUACCAAGGCGACGAUCAGUAGCCGACCUGAGAGGGUGACCGGCCACAUUGGGACUGAGACACGGCCCAAACUCCUACGGGAGGCAGCAGUGGGGAAUAUUGCACAAUGGGGGAAACCCUGAUGCAGCGACGCCGCGUGAGCGAUGAAGUAUUUCGGUAUGUAAAGCUCUAUCAGCAGGGAAGAAAAUGACGGUACCUGACUAAGAAGCCCCGGCUAACUACGUGCCAGCAGCCGCGGUAAUACGUAGGGGGCAAGCGUUAUCCGGAUUUACUGGGUGUAAAGGGAGCGUAGACGGCAUGGCAAGCCAGAUGUGAAAGCCCGGGGCUCAACCCCGGGACUGCAUUUGGAACUGUCAGGCUAGAGUGUCGGAGAGGAAAGCGGAAUUCCUAGUGUAGCGGUGAAAUGCGUAGAUAUUAGGAGGAACACCAGUGGCGAAGGCGGCU